AAACCAGGUGAUCUACCCUUGGUCAGGUUGAAGUUCAGGUAACACUGAAUGGAGGACCGAACCGACUUACGUUGAAAAGUGAGCGGAUGAACUGAGGGUAGCGGAGAAAUUCCAAUCGAACCUGGAGAUAGCUGGUUCUCUCCGAAAUAGCUUUAGGGCUAGCCUCAAGUGAUGAUUAUUGGAGGUAGAGCACUGUUUGGACGAGGGGCCCCUCUCGGGUUACCGAAUUCAGACAAACUCCGAAUGCCAAUUAAUUUAACUUGGGAGUCAGAACAUGGGUGAUAAGGUCCGUGUUCGAAAGGGAAACAGCCCAGACCACCAGCUAAGGUCCCAAAAUAUAU
RNAcentral lists this ribosomal RNA (341 nucleotides) under Staphylococcus aureus. RNAcentral describes it as "partial 23S ribosomal RNA". It matches the Rfam family "Bacterial large subunit ribosomal RNA", at positions 718 to 1057 of the family's 2925-position model. Lineage: Bacteria; Bacillati; Bacillota; Bacilli; Caryophanales; Staphylococcaceae. The record is from RNAcentral.